Molecule: ribosomal RNA, 400 nt
Filed under: bacterium
Lineage: Bacteria
Description: bacterial SSU rRNA
Rfam family: Bacterial small subunit ribosomal RNA
Source: RNAcentral
GACUGGGAUAACUUCGGGAAACCGGAGCUAAUACCGGAUACGUUCUUUUCUCGCAUGAGAGAAGAUGGAAAGACGGUUUACGCUGUCACUUAUAGAUGGGCCCGCGGCGCAUUAGCUAGUUGGUGAGGUAAUGGCUCACCAAGGCGACGAUGCGUAGCCGACCUGAGAGGGUGAUCGGCCACACUGGGACUGAGACACGGCCCAGACUCCUACGGGAGGCAGCAGUAGGGAAUCUUCCGCAAUGGACGAAAGUCUGACGGAGCAACGCCGCGUGAACGAAGAAGGCCUUCGGGUCGUAAAGUUCUGUUGUUAGGGAAGAACAAGUACCAGAGUAACUGCUGGUACCUUGACGGUACCUAACCAGAAAGCCACGGCUAACUACGUGCCAGCAGCCGCGGUA